Molecule: ribosomal RNA, 2476 nt
Organism: Alteromonadaceae bacterium Bs31
Lineage: Bacteria; Pseudomonadati; Pseudomonadota; Gammaproteobacteria; Alteromonadales; Alteromonadaceae
Rfam family: Bacterial large subunit ribosomal RNA
Source: Rfam
CAGUCGUGACUGCGUGCCUUUUGAAGAAUGAGCCUGCGAGUUAGCGGUGUGUAGCGAGGUUAACCCGUGUGGGGAAGCCGUAGCGAAAGCGAGUCCGAAUAGGGCGAUUGAGUUGCACGCUCUAGACCCGAAGCGGAGUGAUCUAGCCAUGGGCAGGUUGAAGCGGAGGUAAGACUUCGUGGAGGACCGAACCCACCAGGGUUGAAAACCUGGGGGAUGACCUGUGGUUAGGGGUGAAAGGCCAAUCAAACUCCGUGAUAGCUGGUUCUCCCCGAAAUGCAUUUAGGUGCAGCGUCGUGUGUUUCUUGCCGGAGGUAGAGCACUGGAUAGGCGAUGGGCCCUACCGGGUUACUGACCUUAGCCAAACUCCGAAUGCCGGUAAGUGAGAGCACGGCAGUGAGACUGUGGGGGAUAAGCUCCAUGGUCGAGAGGGAAACAGCCCAGAGCAUCGACUAAGGCCCCUAAGCGUACGCUAAGUGGGAAAGGAUGUGGAGUCGCAGAGACAACCAGGAGGUUGGCUUAGAAGCAGCCACCCUUGAAAGAGUGCGUAAUAGCUCACUGGUCAAGUGAUUCCGCGCCGACAAUGUAGCGGGGCUCAAGCGUACCGCCGAAGUCGUGUCAUUCAUACACAUAGGGCCAACGCCCGUAUGGAUGGGUAGGGGAGCGUCGUGUGCCGGGUGAAGCAGCCGCGGAAGCGAGUUGUGGACGGUUCACGAGUGAGAAUGCAGGCAUGAGUAGCGAUACACACGUGAGAAACGUGUGCGCCGAUUGACUAAGGGUUCCUGGGUCAAGCUGAUCUGCCCAGGGUAAGUCGGGACCUAAGGCGAGGCCGACAGGCGUAGUCGAUGGACAACCGGUUGAUAUUCCGGUACCCGCUUUGAAACGCCCAGUACUGAAUCAGGCGAUGCUAAGUCCGUGAAGCCGGCCCGAUCUCUUCGGAGUUGAGGGUAGUGGUGGAGCCGAUGAACCAGACUUGUAGUAGGUAAGCGAUGGGGUGACGCAGGAAGGUAGUCCAGCCCGGGCGGUGGUUGUCCCGGGGUAAGGGUGUAGCCCGUGUGGUAGGUAAAUCCGUCACACAUUAAGGGUGAGACCUGAUGCCGAGCCGAUUGUGGUGAAGUGGAUGAUCCUAUGCUGUCGAGAAAAGCCUCUAGCGAGUUUCAUGGCGGCCCGUACCCUAAACCGACUCAGGUGGUCAGGUAGAGAAUACCGAGGCGUUCGGGUGAACUAUGGUUAAGGAACUCGGCAAAAUGCCCCCGUAACUUCGGGAGAAGGGGGGCCAUCACUGGUGAUAGCACUUGCUGCUUGAGCUGGGGGUGGCCGCAGAGACCAGCGAGAAGCGACUGUUUACUAAAAACACAGGUCCGUGCGAAGCCGUAAGGCGAUGUAUACGGACUGACGCCUGCCCGGUGCUGGAACGUUAAGGGGACCGGUUAGCUGCCUUUCGGGGUGGCGAAGCUGAGAACUUAAGCGCCAGUAAACGGCGGUGGUAACUAUAACCAUCCUAAGGUAGCGAAAUUCCUUGUCGGGUAAGUUCCGACCUGCACGAAUGGCGUAACGACUUCUCGACUGUCUCAACCAUAGGCCCGGUGAAAUUGCACUACGAGUAAAGAUGCUCGUUUCGCGCAGCAGGACGGAAAGACCCCGGGACCUUUACUAUAGUUUGAUAUUGGUGUUCGGUUCGGCUUGUGUAGGAUAGGUGGGAGACUUUGAAGCGGCCACGCCAGUGGUUGUGGAGUCGUCGUUGAAAUACCACUCUGGUCGUGCUGGAUGUCUAACCUGGGUCCGUGAUCCGGAUCAGGGACAGUGUCUGAUGGGUAGUUUAACUGGGGCGGUUGCCUCCUAAAGAGUAACGGAGGCGCCCAAAGGUUCCCUCAGCCUGGUUGGCAAUCAGGUGUUGAGUGUAAGUGCACAAGGGAGCUUGACUGUGAGACCGACGGGUCGAGCAGGGACGAAAGUCGGGACUAGUGAUCCGGCAGUGGCUUGUGGAAGCGCUGUCGCUCAACGGAUAAAAGGUACCCCGGGGAUAACAGGCUGAUCUUCCCCAAGAGUCCAUAUCGACGGGAUGGUUUGGCACCUCGAUGUCGGCUCGUCGCAUCCUGGGGCUGGAGUCGGUCCCAAGGGUUGGGCUGUUCGCCCAUUAAAGCGGUACGCGAGCUGGGUUUAGAACGUCGUGAGACAGUUCGGUCCCUAUCCGCUGCGCGCGCAGGAAUAUUGAGAAGGGCUGUCCCUAGUACGAGAGGACCGGGACGGACGAACCUCUGGUGUGCCAGUUGUCCUGCCAAGGGCAUGGCUGGUUGGCUACGUUCGGAAAGGAUAACCGCUGAAAGCAUCUAAGCGGGAAGCCUGCUUCGAGAUGAGUAUUCCCACCCUCUUGAAGGGUUAAGGCUCCCAGUAGACGACUGGGUUGAUAGGCCAGAUGUGGAAGCCCGGUAACGGGUGGAGCUGACUGGUACUAAUAGGCCGAGGGCUUGUCCUC